This is a non-coding RNA of Corylus avellana, 708 nucleotides long. NCBI's taxonomy places the organism in Eukaryota, Viridiplantae, Streptophyta, Magnoliopsida, Fagales, Betulaceae. The record is from RefSeq and is a predicted model, not a curated record.
AACGUCCCCGUUUUGACCAAUUAUAAGGCCAUCCAUCUUUGUAUCCUCUUCCAUGUUGCUUUCAUGUGGCAUAUCCCUUUCUGUUAUCUAAUAUUAGUAGAUAUUAUGAAUCCAGAACAUCCUCCAAGACCCUGUGAUCAGACAGAGUUUCUGAUAGGGAAUUAUGUGAAAUUUUUUUCACCAACUGAAGCAGAAACAGAAUACUGAAUGAAUGUUGUACAAGUGCACCAAUACAAUCCCAGAGCAACUACAAGUCACUGUCAUUGUGUAUGCUUCAGAAGCAGGGGAAUUCUCUCACGUAUUAACAAAGCCUCUCAGAUCUCUCCCUUAGGACACAGCUGGACAGAUCUUUGUGGCAUUUGAGAAACCAGAAGAAGUCCCAGCUUGUCUUGUUGUAUUGCUGUGAUAGGUCAAGGGGUGGAAACUCACCUUAUAUCACCUUAUAUCAGAUUCAUUUUUCUUACACAUUCACCAUCAGAGGAGGUCAAGAGACAUUUAAGCUUCCUUGUUCAACAAAGGGUAAUAAUUGUGGGAAUACAAUGUUUCUUUUUCGAAAGUUUACCUACAAAGAAUGCUGUCAUAAUGGCAUUGUAUGAUAGAGUCAUUUGUGUUAACUAUCUCCUAUUUAACAGGUGCCCAAUUGAGACAGCUUAAUGUAGCUUUUGUUUUCAAUUCAAAUAUGUUCCUUUGUUUAGAUACAAAGUUGUA